GCCGGGUUAGCUCAGUUGGUUAGAGUGUGGUGCUAAUAACCCCAGGGUCACGGAUUCAAUCCCCGCUCACUGCA
Pelecanus crispus (Dalmatian pelican) is the source of this 74-nucleotide transfer RNA. It matches the Rfam family "tRNA". Rfam says of the family: Transfer RNA (tRNA) molecules are approximately 80 nucleotides in length. Their secondary structure includes four short double-helical elements and three loops (D, anti-codon, and T loops). Lineage: Eukaryota; Metazoa; Chordata; Aves; Pelecaniformes; Pelecanidae. The record is from Rfam.